This 253-nucleotide ribosomal RNA is filed under the name uncultured bacterium. RNAcentral's name for it is "partial 16S ribosomal RNA". It matches the Rfam family "Bacterial small subunit ribosomal RNA", at positions 524 to 776 of the family's 1533-position model. The record is from RNAcentral.
UACGGAGGGUGCAAGCGUUAUCCGGAUUCACUGGGUUUAAAGGGUGCGUAGGCGGAUAGGUAAGUCCGUGGUGAAAUCCUGCAGCUUAACUGCAGAACUGCCAUGGAUACUAUCUUUCUUGAAUACCGUGGAGGUCAGCGGAAUAUGUCAUGUAGCGGUGAAAUGCUUAGAUAUGGCAUAGAACACCAAUUGCGAAGGCAGCUGGCUACACGAAUAUUGACACUGAUGCACGAAAGCGUGGGGAUCAAACAGG